Molecule: long non-coding RNA, 354 nt
Organism: Canis lupus familiaris (dog)
Lineage: Eukaryota; Metazoa; Chordata; Mammalia; Carnivora; Canidae
Exons: 3
Source: RefSeq, a predicted model, not a curated record
CUUCACUCUGGUACCCAUGGGACAGAAAUCUGAACUGAGGAAUCCCAGCCUCCAUGUGACCUCCAGCUCCUGGCAGACAGGGACGCUGCCCGAGGCAGCUCCACGAGUACCUGAGUGGCGCAGAGCCCACCAAGGGCUGGAUCACUAACUACCUGUAGUCAACGUGAAAGAAGCUGUGGUCUGUGUAUACAAUGGGAUGUUGCUCAGCCGUCAGGAAGGACGGAUACCCACCGCGAGCUUGGACGUGGAGGGACCUGGAGGGUGUGAUGCCGAGCCAAGUACGUCAGUCGGAGAAGGACCAUCACCAUAUGGUCUCACUCAUAUGGGGAAUAGAAGAAAUAGUGGAAGGGAUCA